Non-coding RNA from Pseudomonas putida, 67 nucleotides. NCBI's taxonomy places the organism in Bacteria, Pseudomonadati, Pseudomonadota, Gammaproteobacteria, Pseudomonadales, Pseudomonadaceae. The record is from Rfam.
UACGCGAUGCCGAAGUCGGGUCGCGCAGUCACCAACUCGCUGAUAUUUCAGGAGAUGUACCAUGACU